RNAcentral lists this transfer RNA (88 nucleotides) under Pseudoeurycea rex (royal false brook salamander). RNAcentral's name for it is "tRNA-Leu". The stretch from base 14 to 88 matches the Rfam family "tRNA". Rfam says of the family: Transfer RNA (tRNA) molecules are approximately 80 nucleotides in length. Their secondary structure includes four short double-helical elements and three loops (D, anti-codon, and T loops). The record is from RNAcentral. Lineage: Eukaryota; Metazoa; Chordata; Amphibia; Caudata; Plethodontidae.
CUAACACGACUUUAUUGGAGUGGCAGAGCACGGUAAUUGCAAAAGACCUAAGACCUUGUCUUCGAGAGUUCAAAUCCCUCCCCCAAUU